This 529-nucleotide ribosomal RNA is filed under the name uncultured bacterium. Its description in RNAcentral is "partial 16S ribosomal RNA". It matches the Rfam family "Bacterial small subunit ribosomal RNA", at positions 355 to 874 of the family's 1533-position model. The record is from RNAcentral.
UGGGGAAUAUUGCACAAUGGGCGCAAGCCUGAUGCAGCCAUGCCGCGUGUGUGAAGAAGGCCUUCGGGUUGUAAAGCACUUUCAGCGAGGAGGAAGGUGGUGAGCUUAAUACGCUCAUCAAUUGACGUUACUCGCAGAAGAAGCACCGGCUAACUCCGUGCCAGCAGCCGCGGUAAUACGGAGGGUGCAAGCGUUAAUCGGAAUUACUGGGCGUAAAGCGCACGCAGGCGGUUUGUUAAGUCAGAUGUGAAAUCCCCGGGCUCAACCUGGGAACUGCAUUUGAAACUGGCAAGCUAGAGUCUCGUAGAGGGGGGUAGAAUUCCAGGUGUAGCGGUGAAAUGCGUAGAGAUCUGGAGGAAUACCGGUGGCGAAGGCGGCCCCCUGGACGAAGACUGACGCUCAGGUGCGAAAGCGUGGGGCAGCAAACAGGAUUAGAUACCCUGGUAGUCCACGCUGUAAACGAUGUCGAUUUGGAGGUUGUGCCCUUGAGGCGUGGCUUCCGGAGCUAACGCGUUAAAGUCGACCGCCU